UUGUAAUGUGCCAGCCGCCGCGGUAAAACGUAGGUCACAAGCGUUGUCCGGAAUUACUGGGUGUAAAGGGAGCGCAGGCGGGAAGACAAGUUGGAAGUGAAAUCCAUGGGCUCAACCCAUGAACUGCUUUCAAAACUGUUUUUCUUGAGUAGUGCAGAGGUAGGCGGAAUUCCCGGUGUAGCGGUGGAAUGCGUAGAUAUCGGGAGGAACACCAGUGGCGAAGGCGGCCUACUGGGCACCAACUGACGCUGAGGCUCGAAAGUGUGGGUAGCAAACAGG
This 279-nucleotide ribosomal RNA is filed under the name Faecalibacterium prausnitzii. RNAcentral's name for it is "partial 16S ribosomal RNA". It matches the Rfam family "Bacterial small subunit ribosomal RNA", at positions 498 to 776 of the family's 1533-position model. The record is from RNAcentral. Lineage: Bacteria; Bacillati; Bacillota; Clostridia; Eubacteriales; Oscillospiraceae.